UACAGAGGGGGCAAGCGUUAUUCGGAAUUAUUGGGCGUAAAGGGCGCGUAGGCGGGUCAUCAAGUCCGGGGUGAAAGCCCCGGGCUCAACCUGGGAACCGCGCUUGAGACUGGCACGCUCGAGUUCGGGAGAGGAUGGUGGAAUUCCCAGUGUAGAGGUGAAAUUCGUAGAUAUUGGGAAGAACACCGAUGGCGAAGGCAGCCAUCUGGACCGACACUGACGCUGAGGCGCGAAAGCGUGGGGAGCAAACAGG
This 253-nucleotide ribosomal RNA is filed under the name uncultured bacterium. Its description in RNAcentral is "partial 16S ribosomal RNA". It matches the Rfam family "Bacterial small subunit ribosomal RNA", at positions 524 to 776 of the family's 1533-position model. The record is from RNAcentral.